ACUAGAGACAUUGUCACACUGCAUGUGACGGGAAGGUGACAUUCUGGUCUCAGAGCCUGAGGCUGACGGCCUGUGGGGAAAUUUCAGGGGAGCACAGAGAGGAUGAAAGGAGAACAGAAACCCGUCCAGGGGCCCCAGCCGGCCCUUUGCAAACAGAGGCAGGGUCAGGCCAAACCGAGGGCCAGGUCGCAGGUGAAGGCUGGAGUCUGAGGUCUGGGGCCUGGGAUCAGCCUGUUUUAGCUGCUGCUCGGGUGCUUUCUGCGGAGGGGGCUCAUCACACUCUCCACCCAUAGGUGCAUUCGCAUGUGGGGCACUGCUGGUGGCUGAGACCAGGGUUUGGCUCUGGUGACUAUUUCAGCAGCCCUGUGGUUUCAGCGGAGAGCGGGGAACGUGUCCCCCCAGGACGGGCUCCUGCUUGCUCCCGAGAGGCGCCUUGGCAGGGCGGACAUUGGAAGCUGAAUGCGGAGGAAGCAUCUGGAAGCGGAGCUCUUGGCCUCAGCCCUCCUGUCCUGGGAGAGUCAAGAAUUAUCAUCUUGCCAUAAGCAUCUGGGUCUCAAACUUUCUGCUCUGCUAUCCUUGCCAUCCAACAACGAGCAAGAUUCCCAUCGAAGCUGAGCUGCUCCUUCAGGACCUGGGGGUCACCCCUUGGAGAACUGUCAAUCAUGCCCACGGCUUUGGAUGUUGACCCGUCUGGUGUCAUGAAGUGAGACCUGAGUGUCACGCAGAGACAGGUGGUGAGAAGUAAGGGUAGGCCCUGCCGUGACUGCAACUUAGGAGUAAAUGCGUCACCUGGACCGACGGCAGGAAGUGCAAACAGUGGGAGGCCCACAGGCAAGGUCUCAGAUGACCCGGGGCCAUCCUGGCCCUGCUGUUUGCUAUGUGGACUCAGCUUCACGCGGCCUCCCCAUCUAUGGCUCAAUUUCCCCUCCAGGAGGCAGGCAUCCCAGCCUGCCUGGUGACUCUGGGCAGGGAAAGCAGCAGAGCUACCUGCCCCUGGCUCUGGGGGGGGGGGCGGGGGUGGGACGUGUGAAUCUCUGGGGUGUUUUGAAAUGACUUUUUGUGUUGUUGGUGAUCUUCUGUUAACAUGGGAGACAGAGUUGACGUUUUCUGCCCCAGACCUGGGACGAAGCUCUUGAGCGCAGACACAGGGUUCCUCAGUGGCUCUUUGAUCACAGCCCUGCACCCCACUAUGUAGCGUUGAGCGGCCACUUCCACCAGCCUCUGUCCAGCUCCACUUGUGACCAGGUGCAAGAGGUUCCCGAGCCAGCAUCCUGAACAACAUUUUGUCCCAAGUUUAGAGUGGAAUCCUGUGAUGUCUUUGGGUAAACAUCACUGGGCCCAUUUCAAGGAUUGUGAAACUGAUGGGAAAGGAGAGACCUCUGCGUCCAGGCGGUGGAGGACAAGGACAAGGACCCAGGGCUCCAAACUCUGGUCUGAGCCCUUCCCAUCCCAGCACGCUGGCGAGGGGCAGGACCACGGACCACAGGCUUAUUUUAUUUUAUUUUUUUCUCUGGAACACUCUGAAUCUGAUAUUUAAAAAUUGAUUAUGAUUCAUAGCCAGAGAUGGCGGCUAACUGUCUCCUAGCUUCCCCAGCGUUGCUGAAGAAAUCCGUUAAGACUGUCCACAGGCACAAUGGCAGGGGCCGUUAGCGUCCCCACCAUGUCCCCUCGGGCCUUCCCUCUGUGCCAGGCCGCCGCGGCCAGCCUCCAAGUCAUUGUGUCCCAGCGUCUGGAAAGUGCUCAGCACCUGUGGCUGCCCUCCGGCCGGCGGGGUAGCUGCAGUGUGGGACAGCGUUGCCUGGCAGGGAUUGGCCCUGUGCCCGUGGUGGCAGCCUGCUUGGCCACACAGGGCUGCUGGGGGGCCCCACUUCCCUGUCUCAGCUCUCACUCCCCUGCCAGGGGGCCUGGAGUCACACCCCGUGUCUGGGAGUGUCCUUGCCUGCUUGUCCUGGGCUGCUGCUGCUGCGUCCCAUGGAGCGGUGGCACAGCACGCGCCUUUGGAGGAAGAUGGGAAAGACCUGAUCGUCGCUCUCAGCAGCGUGGCUGGUGUCAGGGCAGUGGGCAUGGGACCCAGCUGUGGCUCAGCUCUGGCCUCACGUGCUCCUGCCCCUGGGCCAGCACCCGGCUGUCUGGGCUGCGGUUCUGAAUCUGUCAGUGGGAUAAGGAUGUGCACCUCGUCCGGGGAGUGUUUGAGCCUCCUGUGGGGGAUGCACUGACCUGGAACUUCUCCGCUGGGAUUUGCUUUUCGUCCUGGUAUCAGGCCAGCGACUCAGUCCUGCUCCAUCCUCCAGAGGAGGAGACAGAAGCGCUGCGAGGUUGAGGCACUCAUCCAAGUUGACACAGUGGCCUGUCUGAGUCCAGAGCCUGUGCCGCGGCCCCACGCAGCCUGCCUGCCUCCCGGUACCGUGAGUGAGGGCGCCUGGGUGAAGCUGGCUGCAUACAAGCCUCUGUCGUCACGGGCUCCUACUUUAAGGUGCCGUUCUGUGCGGCUGCCAAAGGGAACGACGUUGUCAGAAGCUCCUCCCCCUGGGGAGUCCGGAGCUGCUUGGUGCUGGGGGGCUAGCCAGUGACCUUGCUCCCUGAUCUUGAUACACACAAGGCAAAUCUGAGUCACCCACCCAGUCCCCAAGGUGUCAGCCCCAGGACAAAUGGAAAGCCAGUGGUGGCCUGAGGAACAGGAGCAAGGCAGGCUGGACCAGGUCAGGGCAUGCAGAGAGCUGGCCCAGGAUAGGAGGGGCCCUCCCCAGGUGUCACAGGAGGGGUGCUGUGGGGAGACAGGAGGCUCUACUAUGUGGACAACUGGUGCUAAUUCAUUGUUCACUGUUUUUUGAUAUUCAUUACUUGGAAUCAAGGCUUGGCAAAGGCCUCUGAGUUCUGGCCCUGCCCCUGGCCAGGCCUGCGAGAGAGAACUCUUCCCUCUCUGAGCCUGCCCCAUGCCAGCCUGUUCCCCGAGCCAAGAGAGCUGUGGGUUGUCACACACCGAGGGUGGGCCGGGGCUGGUCUGCUUUCUGUGGCCAUGGAACUAGAGGGCCCAGGCAUUCACCCAUCUCCAGGCUGUUCUGACCUUGGAGAGUGGGCAGGGAUGCUGCGCCUGGGGUGUGGGCAUCCCAGGAAACGUACGUGUUGGUGACCUGUGCAACAGGACAGUGCGGUAAAAAAAAAAAAAGAAA
This is a long non-coding RNA of Symphalangus syndactylus (siamang), 3170 nucleotides long. RefSeq lists it as uncharacterized. NCBI's taxonomy places the organism in Eukaryota, Metazoa, Chordata, Mammalia, Primates, Hylobatidae. The record is from RefSeq and is a predicted model, not a curated record.